Molecule: microRNA precursor, 67 nt
Filed under: Triops cancriformis
Lineage: Eukaryota; Metazoa; Arthropoda; Branchiopoda; Notostraca; Triopsidae
Description: microRNA tcf-mir-10317 precursor
Source: miRBase by way of RNAcentral
ACGGGUACACCUUAAGGGCAGCUUCCAUGGCAUCUGUCCCAGAAGCUUCCAUAGGUCGUACCUGAAU